Branchiostoma floridae (Florida lancelet) is the source of this 1178-nucleotide long non-coding RNA. RefSeq lists it as uncharacterized. The record is from RefSeq and is a predicted model, not a curated record. NCBI's taxonomy places the organism in Eukaryota, Metazoa, Chordata, Leptocardii, Amphioxiformes, Branchiostomatidae. The transcript has 2 exons.
AGCCGCCCAGCCAUGUAGUAUAUCGAACGUCGAUGGAACGGUUUUUAUUUUUUUAAGUAUCCAUCCGCCGUGCAUAGUAACGCCGUUGCUAAGGGCGCAGUUUUCCCGCGCGCCAACGAGAUGAAAUUUCAUCCGAGUUGACAGCUGAUUGCAUCACGAUGUGUGACCUUUCAGCGAAAUGACGGUGAUGUUGUGCUGUGGAUCUGAGGAGGGGGACAGCUGUUUUAGCCAGUGACAUCAUUUGGCUUGAUGGGAAUUAGACAAACUUGGCCAAGCAACCACCUGUCAGCACAUCAAAACAGUCCCAUCCAUUCUUACAGAGUUUAGAACCCUUCCCAAGCUACCUACUGUCUUACCCAUUACCAGCAACAUUUUUGUAGUUUUCAGGGGUCUUUCACACCUCUCUAAACAACCAAAAUUGACAUAAAGCCCAGCAGCAGCCAUGUCUGAUGAAAGCUCCUUGGUCAAAAUGGGAAUGUCUGCAUGUUCUAGCACUAGCAACCAUUCAUUUUAUUCUAACAUCAUAAUCAGAAACAAUCCACAAAUUAAUCUUCACAACAAUACCACCAUGGAUAUAGAUAGAUGCAGUUUAACAGCAGUAAAAAUUUGUUAAUGACAAUAGACUAUUAUGUACCUUUUUGGGACAUGUCAUUGAAUUCAGUAAAGCACAUUAAAACCUUGCACUGUGCUAUUUGCACCAGUGGGCAUUUUGACACACUGAGAAACUUAUGAAAGCACUUGUUUGGUCUGUUUAGGAACAGAUAACUACAAAACAAACCAUGUUUGAUUCAUUGUUAGACAAACUCAGCACUGACUGUUAAACAAUGGUUUCUUGAAAUUUGUUUAACUAACAUGGAGGUUAAAAACUGUGUAAAUACCUUUCAUGCGAACUAAGAUAUCCUGCAAAUGGGAUCAUUUAUUAUGUUUUUGGCCCAACCAACCAACUAGAUCCAACUAGUUUUGAUCAACUAACUGACCUCAGCAUGCAUUUUUGCUCAGUCCCAUGAUAUAUAUAUAUGAGUGGUUCCCCACGACAAGUUUGUACAUCAUUUCACUCAACUGUAAUUAUAUAACUCUGGCUAUAAAUUGUUGUUGUUUGAUUACAAAUCUUGUUUCUAAUUUGGCAUUGAUAUUUAUACAUGACAUGUUUGUUCAAUAAAAUUUGGCUAGUAUUUAAC